This 1085-nucleotide ribosomal RNA is filed under the name Cylindrocladiella lageniformis. RNAcentral's name for it is "partial 18S ribosomal RNA". It matches the Rfam family "Eukaryotic small subunit ribosomal RNA", at positions 65 to 1116 of the family's 1831-position model. The record is from RNAcentral. Lineage: Eukaryota; Fungi; Ascomycota; Sordariomycetes; Hypocreales; Nectriaceae.
ANNNUANCCANNCUAGUAUNAGCAUUAUACAGCGAAACUGCGAAUGGCUCAUUAUAUAAGUUAUCGUUUAUUUGAUAGUACCUUACUACUUGGAUAACCGUGGUAAUUCUAGAGCUAAUACAUGCUAAAAAUCCCGACUUCGGAAGGGAUGUAUUUAUUAGAUUAAAAACCAAUGCCCUUCGGGGCUCCUUGGUGAUUCAUGAUAACUUCUCGAAUCGCAUGGCCUUGUGCCGGCGAUGGUUCAUUCAAAUUUCUUCCCUAUCAACUUUCGAUGUUUGGGUAUUGGCCAAACAUGGUUGCAACGGGUAACGGAGGGUUAGGGCUCGACCCCGGAGAAGGAGCCUGAGAAACGGCUACUACAUCCAAGGAAGGCAGCAGGCGCGCAAAUUACCCAAUCCCGACACGGGGAGGUAGUGACAAUAAAUACUGAUACAGGGCUCUUUAGGGUCUUGUAAUUGGAAUGAGUACAAUUUAAAUCUCUUAACGAGGAACAAUUGGAGGGCAAGUCUGGUGCCAGCAGCCGCGGUAAUUCCAGCUCCAAUAGCGUAUAUUAAAGUUGUUGUGGUUAAAAAGCUCGUAGUUGAACCUUGGGCCUGGCUGGCCGGUCCGCCUCACCGCGUGUACUGGUCCGGCCGGGCCUUUCCCUCUGUGGAACCCCAUGCCCUUCACUGGGUGUGGCGGGGAAACAGGACUUUUACUUUGAAAAAAUUAGAGUGCUCCAGGCAGGCCUAUGCUCGAAUACAUUAGCAUGGAAUAAUAGAAUAGGACGUGUGGUUCUAUUUUGUUGGUUUCUAGGACCGCCGUAAUGAUUAAUAGGGACAGUCGGGGGCAUCAGUAUUCAAUUGUCAGAGGUGAAAUUCUUGGAUUUAUUGAAGACUAACUACUGCGAAAGCAUUUGCCAAGGAUGUUUUCAUUAAUCAGGAACGAAAGUUAGGGGAUCGAAGACGAUCAGAUACCGUCGUAGUCUUAACCAUAAACUAUGCCGACUAGGGAUCGGACGGUGUUAUUUUUUGACCCGUUCGGCACCUUACGAGAAAUCAAAGUGCUGNCUCCACNNGGGGNNGNNNNGNNNNNNGGNUGAANUA